UUUCGAUUCUGUACAAUUUGAGAGUUAUACGAUUUGUAAACGUUUUUUGUCGAAGUUAAGCUUGUUUAAAUACGAGUAUAAUUUAACGAUCAUCUAGCAAUGCGUGCAAUUGCAUAGAGUGCACCUUGACCCAGCAGACCUGGCUUUGAUCGCGGUUAGAAUUUGCGUGCCAAUCAAGAUUAAGUAUCCAGCUGGCCCAGCUAACCUUUAGUGCGUAAUACGCCGUGUCUCUUUACCUACGGUACACUGAUCGUUUAAGAAAACAUUUCUUAACGUUUCAACUACAAUAAGUGUUCAAUAAAAGAUAUUUAUUUAAUGUGAACAAUAUCAUAGAAUGUUUAUUCGAUAAAUUUCACUUCUGAGAAUUCAAUAGUAAAAGGAGAAUAAGAUGAUAAUGCUCGAUAAUAAAAAACGGUUAAAACUAUAUAAAGUUUCAAAAAAUAUUCAGAUUAAUAAACGAGAAACAAGGUCGAUAAGAUUGGACAUCGGUUUACGAUCGUGCACCUACCGUGCAUCCAUGUCUUUCCAACAGGCUGAUUUAUGCGUUGGUUAAACCUCUUUCGAGGAUCAUACUGGGGGCUUCUGAUGAUGACUGAAACUCGGUUUAUGCUCGCUUCGAUCAACUUCGAUCAACUCUAUAUAAUUCAUAUCUGCAUCUUCGUUUUAACAAGGGAAAUUGGAUAAACCAAUGGAAUGCGAUUACUUCACGAAUGACAAUCAAAGGAAGGCGUUUCAUUUCUUUUUUUUUAAAACUUCUGGUUCCCAAGUUUUGAAAAGUUAAAAGAUUUUCUAUUUUUACAUUCGAAUCAAUAGAAUACAAUAAUUCGAUCAGAAAAAGA
This 839-nucleotide long non-coding RNA is filed under the name Apis mellifera (honey bee). RNAcentral's name for it is "uncharacterized LOC100576585, transcript variant X2". The record is from RNAcentral. Lineage: Eukaryota; Metazoa; Arthropoda; Insecta; Hymenoptera; Apidae.